GACGAACGCUGGCGGCGUGCCUAAUACAUGCAAGUAGAACGCUGAAGCUUGGUGCUUGCACCGAGCGGGUGAGUUGCGAACGGGUGAGUAACGCGUAGGUAACCUUCCUGGUAUCGGGGGAGAACUAUUGGAAACGAUAGCUAAUACCGCAUAAGAGUAGAUGUUGCAUGACAUUUGCUUAAAAGGUGCAAUUGCAUCACUACCAGAUGGACCUGCGUUGUAUUAGCUAGUUGGUGAGGUAACGGCUCACCAAGGCAACGAUACAUAGCCGACCUGAGAGGGUGAUCGGCCACACUGGGAAUGAGACACGGCCCAGACUCCUACGGGAGGCAGCAGUAGGGAAUCUUCGGCAAUGGACGGAAGUCUGACCGAGCAACGCCGCGGGAGUGAAGAAGGUUUUCGGAUCGUAAAGCUCUGUUGUAAGAGAAGAACGAGUGUGAGAGUGGAAAGUUCACACUGUGACGGUAUCUUAACAGAAAGGGACGGCUAACUACGUG
RNAcentral lists this ribosomal RNA (497 nucleotides) under uncultured bacterium. Its description in RNAcentral is "partial 16S ribosomal RNA". It matches the Rfam family "Bacterial small subunit ribosomal RNA", at positions 28 to 507 of the family's 1533-position model. The record is from RNAcentral.